GUACCUAAGGAGGAAGCCACGGCUAACUACGUGCCAGCAGCCGCGGUAAUACGGAAGGUCCGGGCGUUAUCCGGAUUUAUUGGGUUUAAAGGGAGCGUAGGCCGGAGAUUAAGCGUGUUGUGAAAAUGUAGAUGCUCAACAUCUGCACUGCAGCGCGAACUGGUUUCCUUGAGUACGCACAAAGUGGGCGGAAUUCGUGGUGUAGCGGUGAAAUGCUUAGAUAUCACGAAGAACUCCGAUUGCGAAGGCAGCUCACUGGAGCGCAACUGACGCUGAAGCUCGAAAGUGCGGGUAUCGAACAGGAUUAGAUACCCUGGUAGUCCGCACGGUAAACGAUGGAUGCCCGCUGUUGGUCUGAAUAGGUCAGCGGCCAAGCGAAAGCAUUAAGCAUCCCACCUGGGGAGUACGCCGGCAACGGUGAAACUCAAAGGAAUUGACGGGGGCCCGCACAAGCGGAGGAACAUGUGGUUUAAUUCGAUGAUACGCGAGGAACCUUACCCGGGCUUGAAUUGCAGAGGAAGGAUUUGGAGACAAUGACGCCCUUCGGGGUCUCUGUGAAGGUGCUGCAUGGUUGUCGUCAGCUCGUGCCGUGAGGUGUCGGCUUAAGUGCCAUAACGAGCGCAACCCCUCUCCUUAGUUGCCAUCAGGUCAAGCUGGGCACUCUGGGGACACUGCCACCGUAAGGUGUGAGGAAGGUGGGGAUAACGUCAAAUCAGCACGGCCCUUACGUCCGGGGCUACACACGUGUUACAAUGGCAGGUACAGAGAGAAGGUCGUGCGCAAGUACGAUCAAAUCCUUAAAGCCUGUCUCAGUUCGGACUGGGGUCUGCAACCCGACCCCACGAAGCUGGAUUCGCUAGUAAUCGCGCAUCAGCCAUGGCGCGGUGAAUACGUUCCCGGGCCUUGUACACACCGCCCGUCAAG
Molecule: ribosomal RNA, 924 nt
Filed under: uncultured bacterium
Lineage: Bacteria
Description: bacterial SSU rRNA
Rfam family: Bacterial small subunit ribosomal RNA
Source: RNAcentral